GGUCCAGCCCUCCCACUCGCUCUCGCCAUCUCCGUCACACUCGCCCAAGUACUCGCCCUCCCAGUUGCCCACGCGCUCUCGCAGACCAAGCUAAACUCAACCACGACGACAUCGCCAAUGCUAUUAAGAGUCUCACCGGUCACAGAUAUGUUGACUCUCAGGAGAUUACAAAGGAGACAUGGUUGCUCACCGAGGAAGGGAAGACAUAUGCUGUUCAUGGAACGCCAGAAGUGCGGCUCUUCCUGUCCAUACCGCAAGAGGGCAUCACGAAAGAUGAAUUGCAGAAAAAGUUUGAUGCAUCGGUUUUCAAAAUAGCUUGCGCCCAGGCUGCAAAGAAUAAAUGGGUGGACUUUGGAAAGCAACUAGUGACCAGAAAGAUCCAACAUGUGGAUAAUGACAAGGUCCAGACUUUGCUUCUACGGAUACAGGACGCAACAAAACAACAAAUAGCAGCAACAAAACAACAAAUUAAGGAUAUAUGGGUAGAGU
This is a long non-coding RNA of Rosa chinensis, 489 nucleotides long. RefSeq lists it as uncharacterized. The record is from RefSeq and is a predicted model, not a curated record. Lineage: Eukaryota; Viridiplantae; Streptophyta; Magnoliopsida; Rosales; Rosaceae. The transcript is spliced from 5 exons.